RNAcentral lists this ribosomal RNA (460 nucleotides) under uncultured bacterium. RNAcentral's name for it is "partial 16S ribosomal RNA". It matches the Rfam family "Bacterial small subunit ribosomal RNA", at positions 338 to 795 of the family's 1533-position model. The record is from RNAcentral.
CCUACGGGGGGCUGCAGUGAGGAAUAUUGGUCAAUGGACGAGAGUCUGAACCAGCCAAGUAGCGUGAAGGAUGACUGCCCUAUGGGUUGUAAACUUCUUUUAUAUGGGAAUAAAAUGUUCCACGUGUGGGAUUUUGUAUGUACCAUAUGAAUAAGGAUCGGCUAACUCCGUGCCAGCAGCCGCGGUAAUACGGAGGAUCCGAGCGUUAUCCGGAUUUAUUGGGUUUAAAGGGAGCGUAGGUGGAUUGUUAAGUCAGUUGUGAAAGUUUGCGGCUCAACCGUAAAAUUGCAGUUGAAACUGGCAGUCUUGAGUAUAGUAGAGGUGGGCGGAAUGCGUGGUGUAGCGGUGAAAUGCUUAGAUAUCACGAAGAACUCCGAUUGCGAAGGCAGUUCACUGGACUGCAACUGACACUGAGGCUCGAAAGUGUGGGUAUCAAACAGGAUUAGAUACCCUUGUAGUC